AUGCCAUGGGAAGGGCUGCCGGCGGUGGCGCUGGGGCAGGCUGCGCCCGGGAGCCCUCGCGGUGUGUGCGGGGGGGGCGCAUCCCUUCGAGCAGGACCGCGACGGUGUGCGAGGGCUUGGAGAAACGCUUUCGUCCUGCCGCCGCCGCCGCAUUGCUCGGUCCCGGGGGCUUUUCUGCACGGCCUCGUGUUCGGCUGGUUUGGGACGUGCCCUCGCAGGGCUGGCUGGCGGGAUCAGCGAGCGGAGAGGCGCGGAGCGCCGCAGGCGUCCCCCAUCCGCCGCUCCCCGGUGUCGCUGGGCCGACGCCRUGGCGAAGAGCGAUUCCUGUUGCGCGGCCACUUUCCAAGGCAGGCAGGACCCUUGCAGGAAGGUGCAAUCUGCAAAUACAAUCCUGCACUGCUCUUGCAGGCCUUAAACCCUCCUCGACGCUUUCCUGUUUGCUCAGAUUUAGGGAGAAAUAUUCCACUGAGCGAGCCAGGGAAAGCUGGAGCAAAGUCUUGCCGCAAUCUUAAAGCAGGAAUCGCAACCAGGUGUCUGGGUUCAGGGUGGAAAGCUGGAGAAGGAGCAGCGCCGGCAGGCUGGUUCCUCUGCUCUCGGGUUUUCCCAGCUGCUCCAGUUCGCAGGUCCCCGUCCCCCGCCAUCGCCGCCUCCCGGUGUGGAGCCACGUGUCCUGGAGGAGCUUCCAGCACGCCUGUUCCCRCGGGAACUCAAAUGCAAACGCUUUCGUUGCAAAGCUGCCUUGCAGCUGAGCGCGUCCUGUGUCCGGGACUAGGGGCGCUCGUGCCGGGUGCCGCCUCGCCGCGGCCAGGGGGAGGCGGUUGCCGCUGCUCGGGGAGGGCGGCGGAGGCCGGGGGAGCCGGUGGCGGGCCGGGCCGGUUUCGGGAAGCGGCUUGGUGCGCUGUGCGGCGGAGCCCCCGCGCGGUGCCGGGGCGGGUGCCGGAGCCCCCGCGCCGCCUCCUCGCGCCGAGGCGCAGCCGAGGGCUUCGGGCGGCGCAUUCCUGCCUCGGAAAACCCACCGUAGCAGCAGAACUGCCGAACAGCCCCGCUCUUCAUGGGGAUUAUUUUAAUCACAAACAUGUCUUGUCUCCUCAGCUGAAUUUCUUUCAUAGACGGCGGAAAGUGAAAUUCGUGCAAUGUCUGUGGGAGGCUGAAGAAAGGGCCUUUGUGCGCCCCGCGCGGGGCGUUGGGCGGCCUCCAGCAGCGCCCUCCGCCGCCCGCGGCUCCCGGCUCGCGUGA
This 1236-nucleotide long non-coding RNA is filed under the name Apteryx haastii (Great spotted kiwi). Its description in RNAcentral is "lncRNA (ENSAHAG00000014516.1)". Lineage: Eukaryota; Metazoa; Chordata; Aves; Apterygiformes; Apterygidae. The record is from RNAcentral.